RNAcentral lists this ribosomal RNA (623 nucleotides) under uncultured bacterium. RNAcentral's name for it is "bacterial SSU rRNA". It matches the Rfam family "Bacterial small subunit ribosomal RNA", at positions 392 to 1008 of the family's 1533-position model. The record is from RNAcentral.
CAAUGCCGCGUGAGUGAAGAAGGCCUUCGGGUUGUAAAGCUCUUUUGUCAGGGAAGAAACGGGGAAGGCUAAUAUCUUUCUCUAAUGACGGUACCUGAAGAAUAAGCACCGGCUAACUACGUGCCAGCAGCCGCGGUAAUACGUAGGGUGCAAGCGUUAAUCGGAAUUACUGGGCGUAAAGCGUGCGCAGGCGGUUUUGUAAGACUGACGUGAAAUCCCCGGGCUCAACCUGGGAAUGGCGUUGGUGACUGCAAGGCUAGAGUUUGGCAGAGGGGGGUAGAAUUCCACGUGUAGCAGUGAAAUGCGUAGAUAUGUGGAGGAACACCGAUGGCGAAGGCAGCCCCCUGGGUCAAAACUGACGCUCAUGCACGAAAGCGUGGGGAGCAAACAGGAUUAGAUACCCUGGUAGUCCACGCCCUAAACGAUGUCUACUAGUUGUCGGGUCUUAAUUGACUUGGUAACGCAGCUAACGCGUGAAGUAGACCGCCUGGGGAGUACGGUCGCAAGAUUAAAACUCAAAGGAAUUGACGGGGACCCGCACAAGCGGUGGAUGAUGUGGAUUAAUUCGAUGCAACGCGAAAAACCUUACCUACCCUUGACAUGGCAGAAACCUCGGAGAGAUU